Molecule: ribosomal RNA, 1000 nt
Filed under: Cotylorhiza tuberculata
Lineage: Eukaryota; Metazoa; Cnidaria; Scyphozoa; Rhizostomeae; Cepheidae
Description: eukaryotic LSU rRNA
Rfam family: Eukaryotic large subunit ribosomal RNA
Source: RNAcentral
CCGCUACCUGUAGCGGCGAAUUGUAGUCUCGAGAAGCGCCGUCACGGUGGAUCCCGCCUGCCCAAGUUGCUUGGAACAGCACAUCAGAGAGGGUGACAAUCCCGUAUGCGGCAGGUGGGACCACUCACGAUACGCUUUCCAUGAGUCGGGUUGCUUGGGAAUGCAGCCCAAAAUUGGUGGUAGACUCCAUCUAAAGCUGAAUAUUUGCACGAGACCGAUAGCGAACAAGUACCGUGAGGGAAAGAUGAAAAGAACUUUGAAAAGAGAGUUAAAAAGUGCGUGAAACCGUUAGAGGGGAAGCGGAUGAAGUUAGCAAUGCUCUUGCGAGAUUCAGGUGGCUGGUGGGCUAGACGUGUGGUUGGCGGAUCCGAAUGGACUGUCGCUGCACGGCCUGGUCCUCCACCCGCCGCACUUCUCGCAGGAGUGCGUCAACAGCUGCUGGACGGCAGCAGGCUAGACGGCGUCUGUGGAAGGUAGGUGAACGGCUCGCUCUGUUCACUGUUAUAGCCACUAACGUCCCAGCCUGCGUCUGGCAGAGGCGAGCGGUGCAUGCCCCGUGCAUUCGUGCCGGGGCUGGCGUCCUGUUCCGCACUCGUAGCUACUCGGGGUGCACUGCGUGCAGUUCACUCUGGGGAGCGAAAAGGCGUGCAGUAAACGCACACAAUCGCACCAUGGUUGUUGGCGGCCAUAUGGCUUCUUCCGACCCGUCUUGAAACACGGACCAAGGAGUCUAACAUGUGCGCGAGUCUUGGGGUGACCGAAACCCAGAGGCACAAUGAAAGUGAAGGCCGCCGUCGCUCUCUCUACUCGUGUUACUACGGGCGGGGCUGGCACGGUGGCUGAGGUGAGAUCACUGCUCCAACUCUGUGGGCGGUGCGCAUCAUCGACCGACCUAUUCUACUCUUAGGAAGGUUUGAGUAAGAGCGUACAUGAUGGGACCCGAAAGAUGGUGAACUAUGCCUGAGUAGGGUGAAGCCAGAGGAAACUCUGGUGGAAGCUC